GUUGCUCCAGAAGUCGCUGCGCCAACCGCAAGGGGGCAGGCGCCCAAGGAGUGGCUCGUGACUGGGGUGAAGUCGUAACAAGGUAGCCGUAGGUGAACCUGCAGAAGGAUCA
This 112-nucleotide ribosomal RNA is filed under the name uncultured eukaryote. RNAcentral's name for it is "partial small subunit ribosomal RNA". It matches the Rfam family "Bacterial small subunit ribosomal RNA", at positions 1414 to 1525 of the family's 1533-position model. The record is from RNAcentral.